CAGCCAGACUCCUACGGGAGGCAGCAGUGAGGAAUAUUGGUCAAUGGCCGCAGGGCUGAACCAGCCAAGUCGCGUGAGGGAUGACGGUCCUAUGGAUUGUAAACCUCUUUUGUCAGGGAGCAAAGGGCACCACGUGUGGCGUUUUGCGAGUACCUGAAGAAAAAGCAUCGGCUAACUCCGUGCCAGCAGCCGCGGUAAUACGGAGGAUGCGAGCGUUAUCCGGAUUUAUUGGGUUUAAAGGGUGCGUAGGCGGAUUUUUAAGUCAGCGGUAAAAUGUCCGGGCUCAACCCGGGCCGGCCGUUGAAACUGGGGAUCUUGAGUGGGCGAGAAGUAUGCGGAAUGCGUGGUGUAGCGGUGAAAUGCUUAGAUAUUGCGCAGAACUCCGAUUGCGAAGGCAGCAUACCGGCGGCGAUCUGACGCUGAGGCACGAAAGCGUGGGUAUCGAACAGGAUUAGAUACCCCAGUA
This 466-nucleotide ribosomal RNA is filed under the name uncultured bacterium. RNAcentral's name for it is "bacterial SSU rRNA". It matches the Rfam family "Bacterial small subunit ribosomal RNA", at positions 328 to 792 of the family's 1533-position model. The record is from RNAcentral.